UGGGCGCCGGGGGGCGGAGCGCGCAGGGCCCCGGCGACGCCGCUGCUGCCGGGCGCCGCGGCGACGGUCACAAUAGGAGGCGGGGACGGCGCCGCCGGGCGCCUACAGCUCCCGGCCCGCGGCGCGGGGCGGCUCCCGGGCGGAACGCGGCCACGCCACCCGGCCUGCUUUCCGGCAGCAGCCUGCUCCGGCCCUAGCCGAGACCGUUAGGCGUCCGCACACCGAGCGGAAAGGCGAUGCAUAAUCUCACAACAUUAACUAUCGCGACCGGCGUUGUGAGACACCCCGCAGGCGUAACGCUGCGGGUCCCCCGCCUGCGGUCAGCCCCGGGGGUCCCGGCCGCUCCCGCCGCCGCCCCGCCGUUCCGCAGCCGCCGUGACAGGCUGGCUCCGCACACGGAGGGGACUCACGUAACCCAGCACACGUGAUGGGUACAUCGUUCGGGGUAAAAAAAAUCUGAACUAAAUUUUUCUACCAACAUUACAAAUAUGAAUACCCGGUUGGCCCACCCACCGUUAUCAAUUGUUUGUUGAUUAAAGCAUUUAUUUAUAUAUUUA
Falco peregrinus (peregrine falcon) is the source of this 557-nucleotide long non-coding RNA. RefSeq lists it as uncharacterized. The transcript has 2 exons. NCBI's taxonomy places the organism in Eukaryota, Metazoa, Chordata, Aves, Falconiformes, Falconidae. The record is from RefSeq and is a predicted model, not a curated record.